This 468-nucleotide ribosomal RNA is filed under the name uncultured bacterium. Its description in RNAcentral is "partial 16S ribosomal RNA". It matches the Rfam family "Bacterial small subunit ribosomal RNA", at positions 28 to 507 of the family's 1533-position model. The record is from RNAcentral.
GACGAACGCUGGCGGCGUGCUUAACACAUGCAAGUCGAACGGAAAGGCCCUGCCUUUGUGGGGUGCUCGAGUUGCGAACGGGUGAGUAACACUUGAGUAACCUGCCCUUGACUUUGGGAUAACUUCAGGAAACUGGGGCUAAUACCGGCUAGGAGCUCCUGCUGCAUGGUGGGGGUUGGAAAGUUUCGGCGGAUGGGGAUGGACUCGCCGCUUAUCAGCUUGUUGGGUGGGUAGUGGCUUACCAAGACUUUGACCGGUGGCCGGCCUGAGAGGCUAACCGGCCAAAUUGGGACUGAGAUACGGCACGGACUACUACGGGACGCAGCAGUGGGGAAGAUUGCACAAUGGGCGGAAGCAUGAUGCAGCAAAGCAGCGUGCGGGAUGACGGCAUUCGGGUUGUAAAGCGCAUUCGCCUGUGCCGAGGCGAGAGUGACGGUAAUGGGUAAAGAAGCACCGGCUAACUACGUG